Cyanistes caeruleus (blue tit) is the source of this 2077-nucleotide long non-coding RNA. RefSeq lists it as uncharacterized. NCBI's taxonomy places the organism in Eukaryota, Metazoa, Chordata, Aves, Passeriformes, Paridae. The record is from RefSeq and is a predicted model, not a curated record.
CCGAGGCGGGGCUGGGGAUCUCGGGUGCGCACACCCUCGGGGCUCGUCUGAGGGCUGCCGUCGGCGGAGAUUUCACUCCCUCUGCUAUUAGCUGGGAUGAGUGAAAGCAAACAGGCCGGCUCCGGAGAGCUUGUGGGGAACUGAAGGCGUUGCUGCCCUCGUUUCCCGGCCGGGCAGUGGCGGCCAGCCCUGCGCUGCUCCUCGGGGGUUUAUGGCCGUCGUUCCGGAUGGGGCCUCUUGUCGGGUGGCUGGAAACCAGCUUCUAAUUUCCAUCUAAAUCAAUAGAUGCUUGUGGGCUUUUGUUUACUUCCCCUUUCCGUGUAUUUACAUAUCCAAUUCCCACUCAUUUGUUGUGUUCGGUUAUAUAAGCCAGACCUUUUCAGCCCUGCAUGGUCAUGCAAGCGGUUCCCUGGUCAUCGGGAUGUAUGUUCUGAGAGACUUUUUCAGUUUAAAUGCUUUUAAAAUGCUUUUUCUCCGGAGAGGAGCUGCUGCAUGGAGUGUCAGACAGCGAUGCCUCAAACACAGCACUCAUGUUUUCCUGAAGUUAAUGGAAAUUCCAUGACUGGACUCACACUGCUCUGUUUCAGUCACACCGUGCUGUCAGCUUCCUGUCACCCUGCAGAUGGUUACUAAAGCCAAAUCCUUCUCCCAUUCACUUCUUGCUCGGACUCCCAACAAGAAAGCAAACCCAUUUUUUUUUAAAAAAAAAUAUUUCCUGAAUGCCUGAAGUUUCAAUUUUAUCCUAUAUUGUUUUGUGGGUCAUCCUACAAAACUGGCUUUUAGUAAAUCCAUACUACCUUUUAUCCCUUUGUUAUUCAUCAAAUAUUAUGUUUUUAGUUAGAUUCUCCUUUGCAGGUUUUUUCUGAAGAACUGCACAGGCAUCAAGAUCACAGGCCCAAACUGCUUCCACCAUGGCUUACUUCUUAGAACCUGCUGUUCUCUGGUCCUGUGGUAAUGCCUUCAAGUAGGGAAAUUCACUUAAAAUCUUUUGGAUUUGUGCACAUCAGGGUUCUGGAAUUGAGAAUGCCUGAUUUCUCCAGAUGGAAAACAGCAGACUGGGCAUCCUGUCUUUACCCCAUGGAUUAUCAUGUUCAUCCUUACUGAAAAUCAGGAGUUAGAAGCAGAGCUUUUCCACAGGCCUCAAGCGGCAUUUGGUCAGGAUCUGAGUGAUAACAGAUGGAAACAAAUGCCACAUUCUUAUUAAACAAUGUGUUUGCCUUUAAUCAACAAGAUAUCAUUAGACCAUUGUCACAAAAAUGAAGUCCAGAGAGUGUUAUACAAGCUCCUGGCUUGACUGAGUCAAACCUGAUGGUGCUUCAUGGGUGAGUCAGGACACCAAACCAGGACCUGCAGGUUUGCUGUGUGACCUACAGCUGAGCUGGGAGGUUAUCAGUAACCCAAAGCUACUGGGGAUGCUGACCAGCCCUGGAAAGAUGGGUUUUCAGCCACUGUCAUUUGGAGACCCUUGGAGAUGUGCAAGCGGAUCCUUGCAAAUAGAAGACAAGCUUGUUUGACCUGAGAAUUUUUGCCUAUCUCUUGCAAUUAACCUGUGGACCCUCAGCAGCCACAGAUACAACUCUGAUGCAAUCCAUGGUUUUAUCUUCCCUGAGAGAGAGAAGAGCCCAGCUUUGAUGAGCUGAAGUUAGCCCAUGUCAGAAUCCUUUCUGCUCCUCAUCUGCUCAGUCUGCUUCGACGUGUCCUUAUAUAUGGUGUUGGAAGUCAGGAAUGAUUUAAACAAAAUAGCCAAUUCCUCUGGGACAUCUUAUUGAAAAAUAAACCUUUGUCUGUAACCAAGAUACAAUGAAAUUUUGAAUUAUUUAGAUCACAUCUUGCAGAUGAUGCAGGAAACUUGGAUUUGGAAGAAUGUUCUUUUAGGUUGAAUUAGGUAAUGGACUUUUCUUUAGGAAGUUCAAUGCUGACUAGGGUCAGCUGAAGGGCUAUCUUUGACCACUGCUACUGAUUUCUUGAUUACAUAGAAGUUCUUAAUAGCAGAUGGUAACCUUGGGAAAUGACAGAUCCUAAAUGUUGUCCCUGAUCAGUUUUUUUCCCUCAUGCUGUUGUUUGGCAGACUCCAAGG